RNAcentral lists this ribosomal RNA (269 nucleotides) under uncultured Planctomycetales bacterium. Its description in RNAcentral is "partial 16S ribosomal RNA". It matches the Rfam family "Bacterial small subunit ribosomal RNA", at positions 565 to 832 of the family's 1533-position model. The record is from RNAcentral. Lineage: Bacteria; Pseudomonadati; Planctomycetota; Planctomycetia; Planctomycetales.
GAGCACGUAGGUGGGUUUGUAAGUCAGAUGUGAAAGCCUUCUGUUCAACGGAAGAAUUGCGUCUGAAACUGCGAGUCUUGAGUGUAGGAGGGGAGAAUGGAACUUCUGGUGGAGCGGUGAAAUGCGUAGAUAUCAGAAGGAACUCCGGCGGCGAAAGCGAUUCUCUGGCCUAUUACUGACACUCAGUGUGCGAAAGCUAGGGGAGCAAACGGGAUUAGAUACCCCGGUAGUCCUAGCCGUAAACGAUGGGCACUAAGUAGAGGGGUUUU